This 261-nucleotide unclassified non-coding RNA is filed under the name Hevea brasiliensis (rubber tree). The record is from RNAcentral. Lineage: Eukaryota; Viridiplantae; Streptophyta; Magnoliopsida; Malpighiales; Euphorbiaceae.
GCAAUUGGUCACUCCUGCAAUUGAGGGACUUGAUAUUCUCAUAUGAGCACUCAGACAGAGGCAGCUGCCUAGCAUGCAAACUACGUUUCUGAAGCUUGGAGUCCAGGUAUAACCAUUUUGAAUUUUUGAGUUUGGAGAAACAGGAAAAUGCAAAAGAUUGCUGCUUCCUAGAAUCCUGAAUAGAAGACAGCCUAAACCUUACUGAAGUUACAGGUAACUGAAGACUUUCAUACCUCCACUCUUCAUCAGCUUGAUUGAAUA